Molecule: ribosomal RNA, 3113 nt
Filed under: Salmonella enterica subsp. enterica serovar Derby
Lineage: Bacteria; Pseudomonadati; Pseudomonadota; Gammaproteobacteria; Enterobacterales; Enterobacteriaceae
Description: bacterial LSU rRNA
Rfam family: Bacterial large subunit ribosomal RNA
Source: RNAcentral
GGGUUGUGAGGUUAAGCGACUAAGCGUACACGGUGGAUGCCCUGGCAGUCAGAGGCGAUGAAGGGCGUGCUAAUCUGCGAUAAGCGCCGGUAAGGUGAUAUGAACCGUUAUAACCGGCGAUACCCGAAUGGGGAAACCCAGUGUGAUUCGUCACACUAUCAUUAACUGAAUCCAUAGGUUAAUGAGGCGAACCGGGGGAACUGAAACAUCUAAGUACCCCGAGGAAAAGAAAUCAACCGAGAUUCCCCCAGUAGCGGCGAGCGAACGGGGAGGAGCCCAGAGCCUGAAUCAGCAUGUGUGUUAGUGGAAGCGUCUGGAAAGGCGCGCGAUACAGGGUGACAGCCCCGUACACAAAAGCGCAUGUGCUGUGAGCUCGAUGAGUAGGGCGGGACACGUGGUAUCCUGUCUGAAUAUGGGGGGACCAUCCUCCAAGGCUAAAUACUCCUGACUGACCGAUAGUGAACCAGUACCGUGAGGGAAAGGCGAAAAGAACCCCGGCGAGGGGAGUGAAAAAGAACCUGAAACCGUGUACGUACAAGCAGUGGGAGCCCCACCACCAAAGCAUUCUCUGGUGUUGAAGGCCCUGCAAAGCAGCAUCGCGGUGGCGGAGCGUCGUUUGCGACGCCCAACACACAAAACAAGCGGUGAGUGCUUUGGGGUGGGGUGACUGCGUACCUUUUGUAUAAUGGGUCAGCGACUUAUAUUCUGUAGCAAGGUUAACCGUAUAGGGGAGCCGGAGGGAAACCGAGUCUUAACCGGGCGUUAAGUUGCAGGGUAUAGACCCGAAACCCGGUGAUCUAGCCAUGGGCAGGUUGAAGGUUGGGUAACACUAACUGGAGGACCGAACCGACUAAUGUUGAAAAAUUAGCGGAUGACCUGUGGCUGGGGGUGAAAGGCCAAUCAAACCGGGAGAUAGCUGGUUCUCCCCGAAAGCUAUUUAGGUAGCGCCUCGUGAAUUCAUCUCCGGGGGUAGAGCACUGUUUCGGCUAGGGGGCCAUCCCGGCUUACCAACCCGAUGCAAACUGCGAAUACCGGAGAAUGUUAUCACGGGAGACACACGGCGGGUGCUAACGUCCGUCGUGAAGAGGGAAACAACCCAGACCGCCAGCUAAGGUCCCAAAGUCAUGGUUAAGUGGGAAACGAUGUGGGAAGGCCCAGACAGCCAGGAUGUUGGCUUAGAAGCAGCCAUCAUUUAAAGAAAGCGUAAUAGCUCACUGGUCGAGUCGGCCUGCGCGGAAGAUGUAACGGGGCUAAACCAUGCACCGAAGCUGCGGCAGCGAACGUAUCACCCAAGACAACUUUACGGAGUUGACGAUUGACGGAGCGAAGCGACGUCAAAGCGUUCAUUAAAGUCGAGUUGGCUUAGGGAUACGUUCGUUGGGUAGGGGAGCGUUCUGUAAGCCUGUGAAGGUGUGUCGUGAGGCAUGCUGGAGGUAUCAGAAGUGCGAAUGCUGACAUAAGUAACGAUAAAGCGGGUGAAAAGCCCGCUCGCCGGAAGACCAAGGGUUCCUGUCCAACGUUAAUCGGGGCAGGGUGAGUCGACCCCUAAGGCGAGGCCGAAAGGCGUAGUCGAUGGGAAACGGGUUAAUAUUCCCGUACUUGGUGUUACUGCGAAGGGGGGACGGAGAAGGCUAUGUUGGCCGGGCGACGGUUGUCCCGGUUUAAGCGUGUAGGUGUGUGUUCCAGGUAAAUCCGGUUCACUUUAACACUGAGGCGUGAUGACGAGGCACUACGGUGCUGAAGCAACAAAUGCCCUGCUUCCAGGAAAAGCCUCUAAGCAUCAGGUAACAUCAAAUCGUACCCCAAACCGACACAGGUGGUCAGGUAGAGAAUACCAAGGCGCUUGAGAGAACUCGGGUGAAGGAACUAGGCAAAAUGGUGCCGUAACUUCGGGAGAAGGCACGCUGACACGUAGGUGAAGUGAUUUACUCACGGAGCUGAAGUCAGUCGAAGAUACCAGCUGGCUGCAACUGUUUAUUAAAAACACAGCACUGUGCAAACACGAAAGUGGACGUAUACGGUGUGACGCCUGCCCGGUGCCGGAAGGUUAAUUGAUGGGGUCAGCGCAAGCGAAGCUCCUGAUCGAAGCCCCGGUAAACGGCGGCCGUAACUAUAACGGUCCUAAGGUAGCGAAAUUCCUUGUCGGGUAAGUUCCGACCUGCACGAAUGGCGUAAUGAUGGCCAGGCUGUCUCCACCCGAGACUCAGUGAAAUUGAACUCGCUGUGAAGAUGCAGUGUACCCGCGGCAAGACGGAAAGACCCCGUGAACCUUUACUAUAGCUUGACACUGAACAUUGAGCCUUGAUGUGUAGGAUAGGUGGGAGGCUUUGAAGCGUGGACGCCAGUCUGCGUGGAGCCGACCUUGAAAUACCACCCUUUAAUGUUUGAUGUUCUAACGUGGACCCGUAAUCCGGGUUGCGGACAGUGUCUGGUGGGUAGUUUGACUGGGGCGGUCUCCUCCUAAAGAGUAACGGAGGAGCACGAAGGUUGGCUAAUCCUGGUCGGACAUCAGGAGGUUAGUGCAAUGGCAUAAGCCAGCUUGACUGCGAGCGUGACGGCGCGAGCAGGUGCGAAAGCAGGUCAUAGUGAUCCGGUGGUUCUGAAUGGAAGGGCCAUCGCUCAACGGAUAAAAGGUACUCCGGGGAUAACAGGCUGAUACCGCCCAAGAGUUCAUAUCGACGGCGGUGUUUGGCACCUCGAUGUCGGCUCAUCACAUCCUGGGGCUGAAGUAGGUCCCAAGGGUAUGGCUGUUCGCCAUUUAAAGUGGUACGCGAGCUGGGUUUAGAACGUCGUGAGACAGUUCGGUCCCUAUCUGCCGUGGGCGCUGGAGAACUGAGGGGGGCUGCUCCUAGUACGAGAGGACCGGAGUGGACGCAUCACUGGUGUUCGGGUUGUCAUGCCAAUGGCACUGCCCGGUAGCUAAAUGCGGAAGAGAUAAGUGCUGAAAGCAUCUAAGCACGAAACUUGCCCCGAGAUGAGUUCUCCCUGAGACUUAGAGUCUCCUGAAGGAACGUUGAAGACGACGACGUUGAUAGGCCGGGUGUGUAAGCGCAGCGAUGCGUUGAGCUAACCGGUACUAAUGAACCGUGAGGCUUAACCUUACAACGCCGAAG